Molecule: long non-coding RNA, 246 nt
Filed under: Ananas comosus (pineapple)
Lineage: Eukaryota; Viridiplantae; Streptophyta; Magnoliopsida; Poales; Bromeliaceae
Description: long non-coding RNA (ACOM_LNC039026)
Source: RNAcentral
UUUUAUAUUUAAAUCCGGUAUAUUACAUUACACCGCAACCUUACCGGAACCAUUCAAAUGGCUCUCCAACCAAAUGGACACCGUGACCUCAUGAUUUUCGAAGUCCGGUACCCUACAUCCUCCCCUCCUUAAAAAGAGUUUCGUCCUCGAAACGAACUCAAUACUGCAAAACUUAUUUAGAACUUUAAAUUCUAAACUCAUACCUUGACUUAAUCCUCGAACAAGUGAGGAUGAUUCGCCUUCAUC